UCAUUUUCAAAAACCGUAUCG
RNAcentral lists this non-coding RNA (21 nucleotides) under Caenorhabditis elegans. The record is from RNAcentral. Lineage: Eukaryota; Metazoa; Nematoda; Chromadorea; Rhabditida; Rhabditidae.